GUGCCAGCAGCCGCGGUAAUACGUAGGGUGCGAGCGUUAAUCGGAAUUACUGGGCGUAAAGCGUGCGCAGGCGGAUGCUUAAGCCAGACGUGAAAUCCCCGGGCUUAACCUGGGAAUGGCGUUUGGGACUGGGUGUCUUGGAGUGCGGCAGAGGGAGGUGGAAUUCCUGGUGUAGCAGUGAAAUGCGUAGAUAUCAGGAGGAACACCGAUGGCGAAGGCAGCCUCCUGGGCCAGCACUGACGCUCAUGCACGAAAGCGUGGGGAGCAAACAGGAUUAGAUACCCCCGUAGUCC
This 293-nucleotide ribosomal RNA is filed under the name uncultured bacterium. RNAcentral's name for it is "partial 16S ribosomal RNA". It matches the Rfam family "Bacterial small subunit ribosomal RNA", at positions 505 to 796 of the family's 1533-position model. The record is from RNAcentral.